AGAGUUUGAUCCUGGCUCAGAUUGAACGCUGGCGGCAUGCCUUACACAUGCAAGUCGUACGCGAAAGGGGGCAACCCCGAGUAGAGUGGCGAACGGGUGAGCAAUACAUCGGAACGUGUCCUGUAGCGGGGGACAACCUCGAGAAAUCGAGGCUAAUACCGCAUACGAUCUACGGAUGAAAGUGGGGGACCGCAAGGCCCCACACUAUAGGAGCGGCCGAUGCCGGAUUAGCUAGUUGGUGGGGUAACGGCCUACCAAGGCGACGAUCCGUAGCUGGUUUGAGAGAACGACCAGCCACACUGGGACUGAGACACGGCCCAGACUCCUACGGGAGGCAGCAGUGGGGAAUUUUGGACAAUGGGCGAAAGCCUGAUCCAGCCAUGCCGCGUGAGUGAAGAAGGCCUUCGGGUUGUAAAGCUCUUUCGGCGGGGACGAAAUAGCGCGGGGUAAUAUCCCGCGUCGAUGACGGUACCCGAAGAAGAAGGACCGGCUAACUACGUGCCAGCAGCCGCGGUAAUACGUAGGGUCCAAGCGUUAAUCGGAAUUACUGGGCGUAAAGCGUGCGUAGGCGGUCUCGCAAGUCCGAUGUGAAAUCCCCGAGCUUAACUUGGGAACUGCGUUGGAAACUAUGAGGCUAGAGUGCGGCAGAGGGGGGUGGAAUUCCAGGUGUAGCAGUGAAAUGCGUAGAGAUCUGGAGGAACACCGAUGGCGAAGGCAGCCCCCUGGGCCAGCACUGACGCUGAUACACGAAAGCGUGGGGAGCAAACAGGAUUAGAUACCCUAGUAGUCC
Molecule: ribosomal RNA, 790 nt
Filed under: uncultured bacterium
Lineage: Bacteria
Description: bacterial SSU rRNA
Rfam family: Bacterial small subunit ribosomal RNA
Source: RNAcentral